CGUAGGGUGCGAGCGUUAAUCGGAAUUACUGGGCGUAAAGCGUGCGCAGGCGGUUUUGUAAGACAGGCGUGAAAUCCCCGAGCUCAACUUGGGUAAUGGCGCUUGUGACUGCAAGGCUAGAGUAUGUCAGAGGGGGUAGGAAUUCCACGUGUAGCAGUGAAAUAGCGUAGAGAUGUGGAGGAAUACCGAUGGCGAAGGCAGCCCCCUGGGACGUCACUGACGCUCAUGCACGAAAGACGUGGGAGGCAAACAGGAUU
Molecule: ribosomal RNA, 257 nt
Filed under: uncultured bacterium
Lineage: Bacteria
Description: partial 16S ribosomal RNA
Rfam family: Bacterial small subunit ribosomal RNA
Source: RNAcentral